Salvia miltiorrhiza (redroot sage) is the source of this 1269-nucleotide RNA transcript. It is a transcript of the gene named lysine--tRNA ligase, chloroplastic/mitochondrial-like, with no coding region annotated. NCBI's taxonomy places the organism in Eukaryota, Viridiplantae, Streptophyta, Magnoliopsida, Lamiales, Lamiaceae. The transcript has 11 exons. The record is from RefSeq and is a predicted model, not a curated record.
AUGAAGAGAAGAAACGGGUCAAAAAGAUGGGCUAGGGUUUUCCAGACUCCAGUCUUCGCGCGCCUCCACGAUCUGCCGCGCCGCUUCCUUUUCAGACCGCCGUCCGUCUGUCCACUGGCAACUCACGCACACCGCACACGGUAAGCCCUCUCUUUCAGCUGGCCUGCAGCAUCUACAGUCCUCGAACAAUGCGGUUCCUCCAGCUCAGGAUUUUGGAUAUUACAAUGGAGGCGGUCAGGGUUCGAGAAUGUACAAGAGUGUGCAGGCGCAAAGAACGUACAGUGGAGGCGAUUUGUUUGCGGAGCCGUUGACGCUGCCAGGGCAUUCACGGGAAGAAUGGCGAGGAGCUGGUUUGGCCAAAUGAGAGUAGCCCGGGGCUAUUGGAUCUGCAUUCGUUUGACACUGAGCUACUUCCGGAGCUAACUGGAAGAUCAGGGAAGCAUCUUUUCCUUACGGAUAAUGAUGGUGGGAAACUUCCACUCCUGCUUCAGAUGGUCAAUGACUCUGCUGACCUUCAUUUCAUAUCAGCAUUACGAUCUUUCAACCACCGUGUGGUAUAUGCCAACGCAAACUAUGACCAUGUGGUGGGAUGGAGAACUUCAUCAAUCCGCCGUCAAAACGAACUACCAAAGGAAAGUCUUCAUGUGAAUGAUAUGAAGUAUCCUCACAUCGUCCAUGUAGAACAGGGAAUAACUGAAGAUGUAAACAAUAAAGUAUCCUCUGCUGUUGGAACACAGGUUAUUGACUUGGAAGAUAUGAUUGCCAAUCCUGAGGUAGCUGAUGUAUUUAGGAAAAGAGCUAAGAUAAUAUCAGAAAUACGGAAGACAGUAGAAUCUGCUGGUUUUAUUGAAGUUGAAACUCCAGUUCUGCAGGGCGCAGCUGGUGGUGCUGAAGCUAGGCCUUUCAUUACAUACCAUAACUCUCUUGGGCAAGAUAUGUAUCUACGAAUCGCAACUGAGCUCCAUUUAAAGAGAAUGCUGGUGAGGUUGGUGGAUUUGAAAAAGUAUAUGAAAUAGGAAGGAUUUUCCGGAAUGAAGGCCUUUCAACUCGUCAUAAUCCUGAAUUCACCACCAUUUGAGUACUUUCAUGAGGAAGAAGGAUUUCAGGAAAGAGCAACUAGUUCUUGAGGACUUAGUGCUAGAAUACGUAGUAUGAUAGAUUUUUGUUUUAGCUAUAAGGUAGUUGGUAUUUUCAAUUUUGAAUCGGAAUAUGCAAUGAUGAUGUAUACUUGAUAUUUGGUUCAUUUGUAUAAUAAUGUAUGAAUUUUUU